Cavia porcellus (domestic guinea pig) is the source of this 1719-nucleotide long non-coding RNA. RefSeq lists it as uncharacterized. NCBI's taxonomy places the organism in Eukaryota, Metazoa, Chordata, Mammalia, Rodentia, Caviidae. The transcript has 2 exons. The record is from RefSeq and is a predicted model, not a curated record.
CCUCCCUGUUUACCAAAGCUUUGUUUUUAUUCUCUCUCUCACGACGUAGUUCAGACUGACCUUGAAUUCACUGUGUACCCAGGCUGGUCUCAAGCUCUCAGUGAUCCUCCUGCCUCGGCCUCCCGAGUCCUGGGAUCGCAGGCAUGGGCCAUCACAGCUGGCCUUCUCACUCUUUUAAAAUCCUGCUUCUACACCCUUCCUUCUCCAUUCCCCUCCCCAUUUGAACAAGCUUCUCUUACUUCCCAAUGUGGAUCCUUCAGUUUGCUCCUUAUUUACUCUUUGGGUUUUACUCGCUGCAGCCUGACUUAAUCCCUGGAAAGUACGCUCAGUACCCUGCAUGCCCAGAUCUCCGGGAUGCACCAAGGGGCACAGGAGAAUCUGCAUGAAAACAGCUUCACAGGGCAUCAGAUCCACUGGAAUCCUGCUGGAUUGUGGCCAUGGAGAGCAGCAUGUUUGCAAUGAGAGUGUCUCCCGUGCACACAUAGAGCAUCACUUAGCAGGGAUCAUUUUGAUACUCAACAAAGGUCACAGAUGUCAGAGAAGCAAUUCCUUCACUCUUACAUUAGUAAGACAAAUCAUUAGGAAAAUGUAGCCAUAGCCAUUCAUAUAAAUGACCUAAAAGAUGUAUCUUAAAUAUUUAGCAAAGUUAUCUAAAUAGCUCUUGUAACUGUGUAAAGUCUGUGCAUUUUAUAAGAUCUCUGUAAAUAAAUGUUGGAUGAUGACUAAAUCAGAAAAGAGGAUGGAUUACCCCAGAGGGAUUAGGAUAAAGAGUUAGUAAUAAGAUAAAAUAGAAUCAGGAUAAAAACUAGGCUUAAUAUCACAACGAAGUUCUUAAUAGGGAGAACCAUUAGACUGUGAAAUAGUCUUUCAGAGAUUCUGGAAGAAGUCAUUACAAGAGCUAUUUAAAAUCAGAAUGGGCUGAAGCAUUCCAAAAUACGGGGGACGCUGUCGGGACCAAGCCUGCAUUAGACGUGCAAGGGGAGAGGACCCGGUGGUUCCUAGCAUCUCUGUGAUUACUAUGAUUGUACUCAUUUUAUGUGCUCAGUCUUGCUAGAUAAUUUUCUAUCAUUUUAUGCUACUUCUUGGGAGUGAUUUCAACAAAUUCAUCUAAUGCAGAAUUGGAUCAUUUAGAAGAAUCUCAAAAGCGGCGAGAAUGCAAGAUGAACUCAGUGUGAAGCAGCAAAGUGAGAGGAGCGUGAGCCAACACCUGCUUCUUUUUUGGAGUUCUUGGGGAGAAGGCAAGUCUCCCAGCCACUCUGGCUGGACUCCAGGAUGCAGACGUGCACCCUGCUCUCCUGGAUUUCCACAGGAAUUAGGAAUUCCCUUUCAUUUCUUUCAUGUAAUGGUUUCUUGAGAUGAUUCUGAGUACAGGAAAAAGAAUCAAAACCAUCCAUCCCCAAGACAGCAGGCUGUAUUUUGUAAGAAAAAGACAAAACCCUAGAAAAUGAUCCUGCUUUGUUUUGUGACUGACCAUUGUUGGGGGAACGAACAAGAAAGAAAAGGACGUUUACGGGAAGCCACUGAGGCACAAAAAGAGGCAAAUGGACACGGGAAAGCUGUAAGACAUGGCUGAGAAUCCUUCAAAAUGAGACACCCUCAAUGUGUGUAUCAGGAAGCAGGGCAGUGGGACAGACGACCCUCCGGGGCUCCUGCCUGCUGUCUUGUUGAACACAAAUACUAACUUCAACAUAAAAGUGAAUAUCAUUUGAUUUUAUGCAA